AACAAACUAGCUCAAUGGGUAGAGCAGAAGACUGUCCCUCUUCCGGUCGGUGGUUCGAGUCCACCGUUUGUUUC
RNAcentral lists this transfer RNA (74 nucleotides) under Suttonella ornithocola. RNAcentral describes it as "tRNA-Asp(gtc)". It matches the Rfam family "tRNA". From Rfam's summary of the family: Transfer RNA (tRNA) molecules are approximately 80 nucleotides in length. Lineage: Bacteria; Pseudomonadati; Pseudomonadota; Gammaproteobacteria; Cardiobacteriales; Cardiobacteriaceae. The record is from RNAcentral.